CCCUGCAAAUGAUGUGAAAUAUUAUAUGGUAAACACUGGAUCUUUGAUAUGUUUACAAAACUCCGCCUUAUUAUCUGAUGCCACC
Molecule: non-coding RNA, 85 nt
Organism: Triticum aestivum (bread wheat)
Lineage: Eukaryota; Viridiplantae; Streptophyta; Magnoliopsida; Poales; Poaceae
Source: Rfam